GACGAACGCUGGCGGCGUGCUUAACACAUGCAAGUCGAACGGAAAGGCCCUGCUUUUGUGUGGUGCUCGAGUGGCGAACGUGUGAGUAACACGUGAGUCACCUUCCCUUUACUUUGGGAUAACUUCAGGCAACUGGUGCUAAUACCUGAUAGGAGCUCCUGCUGCAUGGUGGGGUUUGGACAGUUUCGGCGGUUGGGGAUGUACUCGCGGCUUAUUAGCUUGUUGGUGGGGUAGUGGCUUACCAAGGCUUUGAAGGGUAGCCGGCCUGAGAGGGUGACCGGCCACAUGGGGACUGAGAUACGGACCAGACUCCUACGGGAGGCAGCAGUGGGGAAUAUUGCACAAUGGGCGGAAGCCUGAUGCAGCAACGCCGCGUGCGGGAUGAAGGCUUUCGGGUUGUAAACCGCUGUAGGCUGUGACGAAGCGGGAGUGACGGUAAUGGGUAAAGAAGCACCGGCUAACUACGUG
This 468-nucleotide ribosomal RNA is filed under the name uncultured bacterium. RNAcentral describes it as "partial 16S ribosomal RNA". It matches the Rfam family "Bacterial small subunit ribosomal RNA", at positions 28 to 507 of the family's 1533-position model. The record is from RNAcentral.